This 434-nucleotide ribosomal RNA is filed under the name uncultured bacterium. RNAcentral describes it as "partial 16S ribosomal RNA". It matches the Rfam family "Bacterial small subunit ribosomal RNA", at positions 29 to 507 of the family's 1533-position model. The record is from RNAcentral.
AGCGAACGCUGGCGGCAGGCCUAACACAUGCAAAUCGAACGAACCUUUCGGGGUUAGUGGCGGACGGGUGAGUAACACGUGGGAACGUGCCUUUAGGUUCGGAAUAACUCAGGGAAACUUGUGCUAAUACCGAAUGUGCCCUUCGGGGGAAAGAUUAAUCGCCUUUAGAGCGGCCCGCGUCUGAUUAGCUAGUUGGUUGAGGUAAUGGCUCACCAAGGCGACGAUCAGUAGCUGGUCUGAGAGGAUGAUCAGCCACAUUGGGACUGAGACACGGCCCAAACUCCUACGGGAGGCAGCAGUGGGGAAUCUUGCGCAAUGGGCGAAAGCCUGACGCAGCCAUGCCGCGUGAAUGAUGAAGGUCUUAGGAUUGUAAAAUUCUUUCACCGGGGACGAUAAUGACGGUACCCGGAGAAGAAGCCCCGGCUAACUUCGUG